This is a long non-coding RNA of Anguilla rostrata (American eel), 2828 nucleotides long. RefSeq lists it as uncharacterized. The record is from RefSeq and is a predicted model, not a curated record. The transcript is spliced from 2 exons. Lineage: Eukaryota; Metazoa; Chordata; Actinopteri; Anguilliformes; Anguillidae.
UCUGACAAGCACAAUUUACAUCGAGCUCGCCCUGCGCUGCUAUUUACUCUGAAACCUGAUUAGUAUGGGUCGCUAUUGUCACAAAAGAGGAAGAAACCCUGGACAGAAUAGCCAAAAAGAGGGGUAAAAGAGGGGGACAUAGCUCGGUGCACGUGAAAUAAACAAACGUGCGAGGGUGAAAGGACUCGAGUCGAGUCCCUCAAAGUUUGAGACGGUUUGUUUGAAGCUGCUGUCUUAAUUAUAGCCUAAAUGCUAAUGUGACUGACAGUAUCAGUGCCCUGUUCUCUAAUUUUACAAUAUGAAGAAAUACGUGUGAUAACACGCAGCGCAUGUAAACCACUUUUCAUACCAAUGCAGAGGAGAACAUAGCGCAAUGUAAACGAAGAGCAUUUAUGUGAAAACAUCUAUAUUGCAAAAAAAAAAAAAAAAAACGAUCGCUUAAUACAGAACCAGCCUUAAUAAUAGUGGCCGAUUCUGAUUACAGCGAGACGGAAACACACAGCUUGAAACCCGACAGAGAUAUUGGAAUUGGUAAUGCAUAGCAAGAAUACAACGCGGAUGCCAUGUUAUGUUGCUAUUAUUACAGUAAUUCCAAAAUUAAGUUAAGUUGCUUGAAAAUUGCGCGGGGAAUCCGACUGUCUGUAUCGAGACAGAGAAGCCUGCGCCGAACAGACUUAAAAUGUCUGGAUCGGACUGCCAUCUAGCGUACAGUAGACAAUUACAGAGGCACAGUGCUGUAUAAUGUAUUGUAAUCAAGUACCUUUUAAAGAAAUGUUAUAAAAAUGCAGAUGCAUAUGGAUUUUUUAUCAGCACUAUUGCGAUUGUUGACGUAGUGUGCAAUAAAGCAAAAUUCUCAUCUUGCUAAUUUGCAACCAUUUUUGCAGAAUAAAUUUCCCGAACAAAAAAGUUUUUCAUAAAACACAUUCUGCUUCUGUAUGAAAGAAAAGUAUGUUGCGUUAAGAUGUACACCAAUAAUCGUGUUGACGUGCGUAUAUAUUCUUAUACGUACAAACAUGAUGUCAAAUGUGCCAAUGCGUCCCUUUUCAACUCAUAAGUUCAGCAGCGUAAUAGUUUUAUAACACAAAUGGUUCCAGAGCUGAACGGUCAGGGUUAGUGCGGGUUUAUAGUUGGUAUUACUUCGUAAAUGCAAUGUACAAAUAGCAAAGAGGCAGCAUUACAAUAGGAUGCAAAUGUCGAAGCAGUGCCCCAGUAAAUGCAGUUCUUGGGGGGAUGUCUGUUUUUGACUAUUCAGCAACGGCGCUUUUCGCGUUCCUCUCCCCGCUGCUCCAAAUAAACUCUCGGUCAUGUCUUCUGCUUCUUGAAAAGGUGAAACGAAUAAGAUUAAAUCAGACAAAGGGAAAGUUCUGUAAGUGUAUCAUCAAGAUUUUACUCCACAGAUUGCGAAGAGAGCGCGAAGGAGAGAGAGGGAGAGGGAAUAGCGAAUGAGAGAAGAGGGAAGAAAGCUUGCACGAAAACAGCGAGGCAGAAGAGGGAAAGUGGACACUAGGACAUUUAAAGAAGAAGCAGCCAUGGAAAGCUGUGAUGGGUGGAUGGCAGAUAGAAACAUCAGAAUUAAACCUAUUUCCGUCUGGGGAUAAUCUCGUGCAUGGUAAAGGUCUUUUAAGGUGAGUCCUAUUGGCAACGUGUGCAUGCCAUGUGCUCAUGCAUACACAGAUUUUUAGAUACAUGCUCUGUAAAAAAUGUGGCACAACCAGCUGCUCAUUGCUCAUUGGCUCACUCACAAAGCUGGCAUCAUCAUCAUCAUCCAGUCACAAUUCAGAACAGCCCGAUGAAGCAGAAAUCUGAUAUGCAAGGUCGCCGGGUGCACAGCAAAUAGUAAUUAUUCCCCAUUUACUUUUAAAAAUGACCCAUUAAACAUAAGUACAUAAGGGCCAUCACUGUGGUCAGUGUCAAAUUCUGCUUAUGGUUCGACUGAAGUACGUUGCACGUGCACUCAUUUUUUUCUCAACAGGUUUUUGCAAAAAUUUUUUUUACCUUUUCCAAUGUGGAGUUUCCAUGCAUGUUGCCCGUGCACCUGUCCCGUUAUCCCUGUAUCCCCCUGUCAAUUCCGGGAGUGCCCUGUGGGGCGAGCGCUCUUGUCCUCGCAGACGUGGCGGUGCGCAGUUUUUUUUUCACCCUGCAGCUCGCUAGCUGUGCCGCGCGGUCAUCGCACCGGGGUACCGAGUCACACGUCUGCAGCUGGCGCCGGCCAAUCGUCGCUCAGUAAACAGGGUGAGGCUACGGGCAGCUGUACGGCGUCCCGCUCGCCAGCCUGUCGCAGUCGACGCUGGCAGGAUUCGGACCGCGGGGCUGACCCCCACAGCCAGGACCAGUGCUUUAGCUGGGCCUGCCCCCGGGGAAACCCAAGCACGAUGUAACCGUGAUGUAAAUCUCUCUGCGGUCGUCGGAAAGUUACGCUCGGUGCUCUUCUGGGUCAUGUGAGGCGAACGUGAUUCAGCGCAUCAUUCAAAGUCAAACCAGAUCAGUGUGUCUGCAUCUUUUUUUUUUUUUGCUUGGGGAUAAUUAAAAAAUAAUCACACAAAAAAUCUAAAAUUGUAGAUGGAACUGUUAUUAAUUCAGUUAAUGACACGCAGAUAUCAAGAAACAACAAAUCGGACUCCGCGUGUACAGGAAUGGGAAUUAUUUUCGAACGGAACAAUUCGAUUGAAUCUUUCAUUCACUCUCUGACAAUUAAGGUGAAGCAUGUAGACAUUUCAUGUUUAUAUGCAAAGAAGAAACCUGUUUCUUUAAGCCAAGCUUUAUUCUGACGCUCAGUGGGAAUGAAAAUAACAACAAUAAACUCUCUACCCCAGCGGUAACUGUACUCA